Molecule: ribosomal RNA, 84 nt
Filed under: Croceifilum oryzae
Lineage: Bacteria; Bacillati; Bacillota; Bacilli; Caryophanales; Thermoactinomycetaceae
Source: RNAcentral
CCCAUCCCGAACACGACCGUUAAGCCCUCCAGCGCCGAUGGUACUUGGACCGCAGGGUCCUGGAAGAGUAGGACGUCGCCAGGC